RNAcentral lists this ribosomal RNA (266 nucleotides) under uncultured bacterium. RNAcentral describes it as "partial 16S ribosomal RNA". It matches the Rfam family "Bacterial small subunit ribosomal RNA", at positions 90 to 354 of the family's 1533-position model. The record is from RNAcentral.
CCGGACCGGCGCACGGGUGAGUAACACGUAUGCAACCUGGCCGCCACAGGGGGAUAACCCGCGGAAACGCGGCCUAAUACCCCGUGACGCCACCGGAGGGCAUCCUCCGGUGGCCAAAGGAGCGAUCCGGUGGCGGAUGGGCAUGCGGCGCAUUAGCUAGACGGCGGGGUGACGGCCCACCGUGGCGACGAUGCGUAGGGGUUCUGAGAGGAAGGCCCCCCACACUGGGACUGAGACACGGCUCAGACUCCUACGGGAGGCAGCAG